This 482-nucleotide ribosomal RNA is filed under the name uncultured bacterium. RNAcentral's name for it is "partial 16S ribosomal RNA". It matches the Rfam family "Bacterial small subunit ribosomal RNA", at positions 30 to 507 of the family's 1533-position model. The record is from RNAcentral.
AUUGAACGCUGGCGGCAUGCCUUACACAUGCAAGUCGAACGGUAACGGGCCUUCGGGUGCCGACGAGUGGCGAACGGGUGAGUAAUACAUCGGAACAUGCCCGAUCGUGGGGGAUAACGAGGCGAAAGCUUUGCUAAUACCGCAUACGAUCUACGGAUGAAAGCAGGGGACCGCAAGGCCUUGCGCGGGCGGAGCGGCCGAUGGCAGAUUGGGUAGUUGGUGGGAUAAAAGCUUACCAAGCCGACGAUCUGUAGCUGGUCUGAGAGGAUGAUCAGCCACACUGGGACUGAGACACGGCCCAGACUCCUACGGGAGGCAGCAGUGGGGAAUUUUGGACAAUGGGCGCAAGCCUGAUCCAGCCAUGCCGCGUGCAGGAUGAAGGCCUUCGGGUUGUAAACUGCUUUUGUACGGAACGAAAAGCCUUCUUUUAAUACAGGAGGGUCAUGACGGUACCGUAAGAAUAAGCACCGGCUAACUACGUG